UACGUAGGUGGCAAGCGUUGUCCGGAUUUAUUGGGUUUAAAGGGUGCGUAGGCGGCUUUGUAAGUCAGUGGUGAAAUAUGGCAGCUUAACUGUCAAGGUGCCAUUGAUACUGCAGAGCUUGAGUACAGAUGAGGUAGGCGGAAUUGACGGUGUAGCGGUGAAAUGCUUAGAUAUCGUAAGGAAGACCAGUGGCGAAGGCGGGUCUCUGGACAGUUCCUGACGCUGAGGCACGAAGGUCAGGGGAGCAAACGGG
RNAcentral lists this ribosomal RNA (253 nucleotides) under uncultured bacterium. Its description in RNAcentral is "partial 16S ribosomal RNA". It matches the Rfam family "Bacterial small subunit ribosomal RNA", at positions 524 to 776 of the family's 1533-position model. The record is from RNAcentral.